UUUAUAAUUAAUAUAUAAGAAUAACUUUUUUAUGUUGUCUGUGCUAUAUUGGCAGUGUUCUAUGUCCACAAUUUCUUUUUAACUUAUGUUCUCUGAAUUUUAUUUUGGUGUAUGUAUAUCAUCUUUAAUGUGUCUUUUUUUAACUCACUGAAUUAUUAUACUCAUUAAUUAUUACUCCUGAUUUAUAGAAUGAAAUACAAAGUAUCUUAUAGUUGGUUUUAAUAUCAGCUUGCCACAAAUUAGAAUCAACAGUCCUCUAAUUGUAGGGCAACACUUAGUCCAUAGGGUAGGGUGGUUUAAUAGUCCGAAUCUGGUGCCAGAAGCCUGGAAUGUUCCUGGAGAGUCUCUGACCUCUCGUCUGAGAUGAAAGCUUGGAAACAUGGGGUCUGCUGUGAGCGAAUGUUGGAGCAGCAGCAGCGGGACAAAUUAACUUGGUGACAAAAGAAGGUCAAGUGAGCAAAAGGCUAUUCAAUGGAGUAUUGAUACUGUGUUUAAACACUGGAGAGUGUCUUUCAAACAUAGCUGUGUUUUACUAAAUCAUAAAACUUAAUGUUUACGGGAGUUCUGUUAAAAAUAGUUGUUCCCCAGAUUGAGGCUAACAAUGCUAUACUUGAACCUAAAACAUUCCACAAGAGUAAAUGAAGAGAGAAAUUCCUUACCCAUAUAUAUAUUAUAGCUUUUUUUAAAAGGCAUUGGCAGACUGGUUUAAAAAAAUGUGGUAGGGAAAUUAUCCUGUUUAAUAAUCCCAGAGGCAGAAGUAUUGUGAGUUUAAGGCUAGCCUCGUCUACAGAGAAAGUUCCAGGACAGACAGGGCUGUUACAUAGUCAAGGGUGGGGAGUGGGGUAGGCUAUACAGUAUGACUUAUGUUUAAGAAAACUGUUGAAGAAGUUCAUUAGUGAUGGAUAAAGCUCAUUGAUAGAGGGCUUGGCUUGCCUAGCCUGCACAAAGCCCUGUCCUACAAAAACAGACAAAAACUACAUAGUUUGUUAACACAGUAAACCUUUGAAUCUUGAGCAUUGUCAUUGGAAAAUCUCUGGGUAGUAUUUGGAUUUGGGUUAUUAAGCUGUUAAGUAGCUUUUGUUUGAUCACAGUUAAUGAAAAAAUUACUCUCUACUCAGUAAGCAAAAAAUAGCAUAGGAUUUUAUGUAGUCACCACAGAUUUAUGCUUCUGUCAAUGUUUUUACAGAAACUGAACCAGAGAGUGCAGCUAUUUUCCAGGCUUGAAAGCUAUCUAUUCUAUGCCUUUUGAAAAGUAAUUCAUUAAAUAUUAAAUUAGAUUUUUAUUUCUUCCCACACACUCUAUAAUAUUCAUUGAGGAAAUGUGUCAUAUGUUAGUAGUAUGCUGUAUAUUUAGUUGAACUGUACUUGAUAGUCUCUUUUCUGGAAAUCAAUCUUAGAGAUGAGACUAAUGGAUAAAGUUACCAAAAAUAUAUUAGAGGUGGGAUGUAACUAUAAUGGGCAAGGCCCUGGAAUGAAUUCCUAGCAUUUAAAAUAAAGAACAAGUGUAUCUCAUAGACAUUUCUCAGAAAUCCACCGGUUUUAAUUAUAAAUGCCUAAUGUCAUCAUUGAUACUAAAAACAAUAGCUGCCAUUUGUUGAUUUGUUUAUUAUAUUGCUAUGAACUACUGCUUUAAGUGUAUCUUAUAUCAUCUUGUUAGCAUUCCAUGAAGUUUAUUUAGAGCUCCUUAAUAUUAAGAAACUUAGCCAGGGGGCUAUAGAGAUGGCUAAGCAAUUAAGAGCAUAGGUUGUUCUUCUAGAGGACCCAGGUUCAAUUCCCAGCACUCACAUGGCAGCUCACAACUAUCUGUAACUCCAGUUCUAUCAGAUCUAACAUCUUCACACAGACACACAUGCAAGCAAAACACCAGUGCACCUAAACACAAAUCAGGAGGCAGUGUGUGGGAGGACUAAACCAGGCUUGAUGGUGCACUUGAGGCAGACACAGGCAGAUAUCUGAGUUCUAGAACAUCUAGGGCUUCACAGAGAAACCCUGUCUUGAAAAGAAAAGGAGGAAAAAUUAAGCAGUGCUGUGCCACAUUGAUAAAGGUUUAUUAAUGAACAUUUGUUUGACAAUGAGGUCCAUGUUCUUAACCGCUAUAUUAAUACUCCAAAGUACUGACUGAAUAUUCAUCGGCUCAUAAUACAUGAUGAUACAUGUUGAGAUGGAAGAAAAGACUGUCUUUUGUAGCACACUUCACCCUUGUAAUCACUUGUUGCACAUUUUCUUGACAAUAAGCUCUGCUUACUUUGGGACUUCCCACUCUUCUAUUUUCACAGUCCCCUGUGGUAAAAAUAUAUCAUUCUUUUAUUAUGCUUACAUAUCUCCACUGAAUAGUUAGACUGUUAACUCCAUGUGAGAGUGGCUUCUGCACAUGUCUUAAAACUCUUGGACCAACUUAACUCUGGUUCUACUACAUAGUUAGAGCUUACUAACUAUGAGGAGAGGAAAUUGGCAAUCCUGAUAGAAUAUAUUUACUAUUAAUGUGUGUCUUCUUCACAUAAGUUUGGGAACAUACUAUGCAGAAUCUUUUGGUUUUGUUUGUUCGUUUGUUUGUUCGUUUCCCUGUGAGCAUUCUCUCAGAUCAUUCUUUGGUUUUCUCAGAUGUGUAUUAAAGCUUUUGUGAAGAUCUGUGAGUAUCUCUCCUAUGAACAAAAAGUUUACCUGGGAAAAUUAAAAUAGCAAAAAGUAACAAUAAGCAUAAAAUAGGCAUAUGUGCCUCCUUGUUGCUAAAAUGUGUGUUCAAGUCAUGUUUAGCAUUAUUCUUGGAACAGAUCAGUCGAACGGUGUAGAAAUUCCAGAAGCAAUAGAGUGCAUAUGAAAAAACCUGUCUC
Molecule: long non-coding RNA, 2831 nt
Filed under: Mus musculus (house mouse)
Lineage: Eukaryota; Metazoa; Chordata; Mammalia; Rodentia; Muridae
Description: long non-coding RNA chr15:34126943-34129774
Source: RNAcentral